RNAcentral lists this transfer RNA (66 nucleotides) under Sphaerodactylus townsendi. RNAcentral's name for it is "tRNA-Leu". It matches the Rfam family "tRNA". From Rfam's summary of the family: Transfer RNA (tRNA) molecules are approximately 80 nucleotides in length. Their secondary structure includes four short double-helical elements and three loops (D, anti-codon, and T loops). Lineage: Eukaryota; Metazoa; Chordata; Lepidosauria; Squamata; Sphaerodactylidae. The record is from RNAcentral.
GGAGCUCAGUGGUAAAGCAUCUGCUUCAAAGGCAGAAGAUCCCAGGUUCAAUUCCUGGCAACUCUA